RNAcentral lists this ribosomal RNA (504 nucleotides) under uncultured bacterium. RNAcentral describes it as "bacterial SSU rRNA". It matches the Rfam family "Bacterial small subunit ribosomal RNA", at positions 28 to 490 of the family's 1533-position model. The record is from RNAcentral.
GAUAAACGCUGGCGGCAUGCCUAAGACAUGCAAGUCGUACGAAAUAGCCCAUUGAAGUCUAAGUGCUUGCACGAAGAUGGAUUUGGAUUUCUAUUUAGUGGCGGACGGGUGAGUAACACAUGGGUAAUCUACCUUAAAGAUUGGAAUAACACAGGGAAACUUGUGCUAAUACCGAAUACGAAAUGAAAAUGAUUUUUUAUUUAAAAGAUGCCUCUAAAGCAUCGCUUAAAGAUGAGCCUGUGUCGUAUUAGCUAGUUGGUGAGGUAAUGGCUCACCAAGGCGACGAUGCGUAGCCGAACCGAGAGGUUGAUUGGCCACACUGGGACUGAGACACGGCCCAGACUCCUACGGGAGACAGCAGUUAGGAAUAUUCGUCAAUGGGGAAACCCUGAACGAGCAAUGCCGCGUGAGUGAUGAAGGUCUUAUGGAUUGUAAAACUCUGUUGUAUGGGAAGAACGACUAAAAUAGGAAAUGAAUUUUAGGUGACGGUACCAUACCAGAACG